This 139-nucleotide small RNA is filed under the name Desulfosporosinus orientis. Its description in RNAcentral is "c-di-AMP sequence". It matches the Rfam family "c-di-AMP riboswitch aptamer (ydaO/yuaA leader)". From Rfam's summary of the family: This family represents a conserved RNA structure found upstream of the ydaO and yuaA genes in Bacillus subtilis and related genes in other bacteria. Lineage: Bacteria; Bacillati; Bacillota; Clostridia; Eubacteriales; Desulfitobacteriaceae. The record is from RNAcentral.
AUAAAUUAAAAGCUUAAUCUAGGUAACCUAGAACGGGGGAAAUUUUUUUUGGGGUGAAACGCAUACUAGAGUGCGAAGGGCUUAAACCUUGUUGCCCGAAUCCGUCAACUAACCUCGUAAGCUAAGAAAGGUAAGAAAC